GAGCCGUCUGUUACGAUGGUAUCAUGGAUGCCUAAGAUUUACAGCUCUAUAGGCUAUGACUAUGCUGUGAAGAGGCAUACUGUGAAAAGCUACCUUCAGUUAAGCUGAGCUGAUCCUGAUAUGAGCUCCUCUAUGCUAAUACGAGGUAUCUUAAGUAUUUAUAUUGAUAUAAGCUGAGGCCAAAAGUAAUAAAUAUCCCUAC
Molecule: long non-coding RNA, 202 nt
Filed under: Elaeis guineensis (African oil palm)
Lineage: Eukaryota; Viridiplantae; Streptophyta; Magnoliopsida; Arecales; Arecaceae
Description: long non-coding RNA (EGUI_LNC019007)
Source: RNAcentral